Brassica rapa (field mustard) is the source of this 123-nucleotide long non-coding RNA. RefSeq lists it as uncharacterized. The record is from RefSeq and is a predicted model, not a curated record. NCBI's taxonomy places the organism in Eukaryota, Viridiplantae, Streptophyta, Magnoliopsida, Brassicales, Brassicaceae.
GGAGAUCCACAUACUUUACUCUCCCCGAGCUUCAGACUAAUUUUUGCUAAUCCAAAGAACAACAUACAUCAAAUUAAGAAACACAGUUUUAAACCAUAAUCAAAUGAAUCUUUACAUCUAUUU